GAAAGAGUUCAGGCUGGGACAUCUGUUAUCCCAUUGAUCACCAGGGUUAAUUUGGUUAAUUUGGCAUGGUAUUCUGGAUGGUUUUCCUCUUCCUGCCUCGCUCCUCCAUUGAUAUCGUCCCUUGGCCAAAUAGAAUGACCUAUCCAAGAGAAGAAGAUGAUCUUUGGCCAAUAGUAUAAGAAUUGUGGACCUCCCUUGCUGGAAUCACCAAGCUGCCUCCAAUGUGUACUGCAGUGUUGUUUUUCUUUUCAUAAUACUGUCCCCUUUUGACAACCAAAACCCAGAGACAACAGAGUGUCUAUUUGA
Non-coding RNA from Equus caballus (horse), 306 nucleotides. The record is from Rfam. Lineage: Eukaryota; Metazoa; Chordata; Mammalia; Perissodactyla; Equidae.